Molecule: ribosomal RNA, 578 nt
Filed under: uncultured bacterium
Lineage: Bacteria
Description: bacterial SSU rRNA
Rfam family: Bacterial small subunit ribosomal RNA
Source: RNAcentral
AAUCAACGCUGGCGGCGUGCCUAACACAUGCAAGUCGCACGAGAAAGGGUAGCAAUACCUGAGUAAAGUGGCGCACGGGUGAGUAACACGUGACUAAUCUACCCUCGAGUGGGGAAUAACUGAGAGAAAUCUUAGCUAAUACCGCAUAACACUUACGAGUCAAAGCAGCAAUGCGCUUGGGGAGGAGGUCGCGGCCGAUUAGCUAGUUGGCGGGGUAAUGGCCCACCAAGGCGAUGAUCGGUAUCCGGCCUGAGAGGGCGCACGGACACACUGGAACUGAAACACGGUCCAGACUCCUACGGGAGGCAGCAGUGGGGAAUUUUGCGCAAUGGGGGAAACCCUGACGCAGCAACGCCGCGUGGAGGAUGAAAUAUCUUGGUAUGUAAACUCCUUUCGAUGGGGAAGAUUAUGACGGUACCCAUAGAAGAAGCCCCGGCUAACUUCGUGCCAGCAGCCGCGGUAAUACGAGGGGGGCAAGCGUUGUUCGGAUUUAUUGGGCGUAAAGGGUGCGUAGGCGGUUUGGCAAGUCUUGUGUGAAAUCUAUGGGCUCAACCCAUAGUCUGCACAAGAAACUGCCG